Molecule: unclassified non-coding RNA, 324 nt
Filed under: soil metagenome
Description: partial contains 5.8S ribosomal RNA, internal transcribed spacer 2, and large subunit ribosomal RNA
Rfam family: 5.8S ribosomal RNA (bases 1-120)
Source: RNAcentral
GAUGAAGAACGCAGCGAAAUGCGAUAAGUAGUGUGAAUUGCAGAAUUCAGUGAAUCAUCGAAUCUUUGAACGCACAUUGCGCCCCUUGGUAUUCCAUGGGGCAUGCCUGUUCGAGCGUCAUUUGUACCUUCAAGCUUUGCUUGGUGUUGGGUGUUUGUCCCUCGGGACUCGCCUUAAAGUCAUUGGCAGCCAGUGGUUUGGUUUUGAAGCGCAGCACAAGUCGCGAUUCAAGGCUAUCCGCCCGCUUCCACAAGCCUUUUUCACUUUUGACCUCGGAUCAGGUAGGGAUACCCGCUGAACUUAAGCAUAUCAAUAAGCGGAGGA